GCCUGGGUGGCUCAGUCGGUUAAGCGUCGGACUUCGGCUCAGGGCAUGAUCUCACAGUUUGUGGGUUCGAGCCCCACGUCGGGCU
This is a non-coding RNA of Felis catus (domestic cat), 85 nucleotides long. Lineage: Eukaryota; Metazoa; Chordata; Mammalia; Carnivora; Felidae. The record is from Rfam.